RNAcentral lists this ribosomal RNA (137 nucleotides) under Brevibacillus laterosporus. RNAcentral's name for it is "partial 23S ribosomal RNA". It matches the Rfam family "Bacterial large subunit ribosomal RNA", at positions 2789 to 2925 of the family's 2925-position model. The record is from RNAcentral. Lineage: Bacteria; Bacillati; Bacillota; Bacilli; Caryophanales; Paenibacillaceae.
GAAGCCCCCUUCAAGAUGAGACUUCCCAUAGCGCAAGCUAGUAAGACCCCUCAUAGACGAUGAGGUUGAUAGGUUCGGUGUGGAAGUGCAGUAAUGCAUGGAGCUGACGAAUACUAAUCGGUCGAGGACUUAUCCAC